GUUGAAGCUGUAGCAGCAACUGGUUCUGUCAAAGUCUCAACUGACGGAGUCACAAUUGUUAACAAUAAUACAGAGCUAGAAGGUGUUAUUGUUAAUGAUGGUCCCAUGUGUUCAGAUGCAAUUGUACUGAAUAGAAGCCAUCAUUCUCAAGAUGUUAUUUUAAAUUGUGAAGUCGAUAUAAACUAUCAGAUUUCGACAACAACUCUCCAAGCUAAAUGGAAAUAUCCGACCAACUUAACAGAAGUUAUCAACAAUGUAUAUUGGAG
Molecule: long non-coding RNA, 266 nt
Organism: Mytilus trossulus (common blue mussel)
Lineage: Eukaryota; Metazoa; Mollusca; Bivalvia; Mytilida; Mytilidae
Exons: 3
Source: RefSeq, a predicted model, not a curated record